CCUCCUGGGCGUUGGAAUGUGGUGUUUAGGUUGGCGCUUUUGAGUAUUACUCCGUUUAAAGUCCAUUCUUGAAUAUGGCUAUUAGUUUGGCCGAAAGAUGGUGAACUGUCCCUGUGGAUGGAGUGAUGCUUGACUGUGCUAGCUGAAGAGUCGGGUUGUUUGAGAACGCAGCCCAAAGUUGGUGGUAAACUCCAUCUAAGGCUAAAUACUGGCACGAGUCCGAUAGCGAACAAGUACCGUGAGGGAAAGUUGAAAAGUACUCUGAAGAGAGAGUUAACAGUGCGUGAAACCGCUUAGAAGCAAACGGGUGUAGUCAAGCUGCAAGCCUUGAGAAAUAGGGUGGUCAGUAUGGCGUGAGCCUGAGCGCAUAGAGCUGGUGUGCUGGGUCCGACUGCAUGUUGGGUAUGGCCCUAUGGGUUGUAUUUGCGAAGUGCUAUUUGGCGCUGCAAGCCUGUUCACCAGUGCUCUGCUGAUCAUCUCAUUUUCUUUUGGCGUAUGUCACGACCGUCGUCGCUGUCGGUCUGCUCCAUUUAAACCGUUUCGUUGGCAGUCUCGUGCUACUAGCGUUGCGGGGGCAGGUAGCCGAUCGAGUUUACGCUUGGUUGGUCUAAUUGCUGAGUGGAGUGGUACUGUGCAGUGCGAUGGGGCUGGCGGUGCAUUGUUGCUGAGCUCGCUAUAAGGGUGUCGGCGUGGCUUGUGUAUGGCUGCUUGCUGCUGUUUAAUGACGGCCUUGCAGUUGCCUAGCUACGGUUUGAUGCCUGGCUGAGUUUGGUCAAAUCUUGCAUUGUGCCUACAGUCUGUGGUGUAGUGGUAGACGAUCCACCCGACCCGUCUUGAAACACGGACCAAGGAGUUUAACAUGUACGCGAGUCAAUGGGGUGCUUACGGAAACUCAUAGGCGCAGUGAAAGUAAAGGAUGGGUUUUCGCCCUAUCUGAGGUGAGAUCUUGCCGUGUCUCUGGUCGUGGAUUGUUCAAGUUCUGGAAG
RNAcentral lists this ribosomal RNA (986 nucleotides) under Heteraxinoides sp. AKV-2015. Its description in RNAcentral is "eukaryotic LSU rRNA". It matches the Rfam family "Eukaryotic large subunit ribosomal RNA", at positions 127 to 794 of the family's 3401-position model. Lineage: Eukaryota; Metazoa; Platyhelminthes; Monogenea; Mazocraeidea; Heteraxinidae. The record is from RNAcentral.